Molecule: ribosomal RNA, 253 nt
Filed under: uncultured bacterium
Lineage: Bacteria
Description: partial 16S ribosomal RNA
Rfam family: Bacterial small subunit ribosomal RNA
Source: RNAcentral
UACAUAGGGGGCAAGCGUUGUUCGGAAUUACUGGGCGUAAAGGGCGCGUAGGCGGCCUGUUAAGUCGACCGUGAAAUCCCCGGGCUCAACCCGGGAACUGCGUCCGAUACUGGCUGGCUUGAAUCCGGGAGAGGGAUGCGGAAUUCCAGGUGUAGCGGUGAAAUGCGUAGAUAUCUGGAGGAACACCGGUGGCGAAGGCGGCAUCCUGGACCGGUAUUGACGCUGAGGCGCGAAAGCCAGGGGAGCAAACGGG